CACUUGUUGAUGCUCCAUUCAUGAGGGUAGCGCCAUCUGUUGGGAAAACAUCGUACAACAGGACACAGAGUUGUCAUAAUUUGAUCAAACUUAGAAAGAGGUAUCUAUAUGUAUAGAAGUACUUAUACAAAUGAAAUAUUUAUAAAAGUUUUUCUUUUCCUGAUGUGUGUGUACAUUAUUUUGGCUGACUCUGAACUUAAUGAGUACAAAACUGUCAUUUAAUUGUUGCUCUGAAAGCUUCUUUAGUGAAAACCAGCUGAUGUUCUGCUUUGAAACAAACUGCUGUUGAGGUCUGUGUUUUUAGGUUUAACCCCACAGUUUCUGAAUGAACUGAUAGUUGUUUUUUUCCCCUGAUCAAUGUGGACGCUAUAAUUGAUGGUAACAUUUACUGAUCAUAUAAUCAGCAUGACAGUAUAACAGUAUAACAUUCUGACCACCUGACUAAUACUGUGUUGGUCCCUUUAUGCUGCUAAAACUCCUCUGACCCAGUGGUUCAUCAGAACCUCUGGGGAUGUCCUGUGGAUUCUGUGGAUCCUGUGGGUUGCAGGGUGGGUCCUACCUAGACCAGGCUGAUCCUGGACCAUCCCACAGAUGCUCCAUCAGAUCUGGAUGUGGGGAGUGUGGAACCCAGAUGUUCAGAGGGAGAUGAUGCCACAUCUGGUCCAGCUGAUGGAAGGUCUUGAAGUUCUCUGACUGGCCUCGACUGAAGAUGGUCGUCUCACUGGAUUUAAGGUUCAGAUGCUCAGUAACAAACUCCACCAAUGUGCCAACAGGGAAGCUUUAGGUUUAUUAAAUGUUGCUAUGAAGGUAUCGCUGUUUUUCUUUGUGAAUGCAAUGAGCUCCAACUGAAACUUGAAUUAGAACUUAGAAGUAAAUCCUUCCAUCUGAAAGGAUUUAGUUGCAUUAAUAACCUCAUAACAUUCUAAUUUUUAUUCCAGUCUUGGUUGAAAAUAGAAUCUCUGUAUUGAUUCAGGUAAAAACUGAACUUCACAGCAUGUUGGAGCAAAACAACCAGAUGAAAACUGUGAUGGUGUUGGAUUGUCAGACCGUAAUGUUGCAGCUCAAAGCAGCUUUUCUAGCUCAGUUCAUUCUGACAUUCAGCUAUGAAUCAACACAGCAGAUGGUGAUCCAUGCUGUGGAAGUCUCACAUCUCCUGAUUUAAUGGAGCUGCUUUGCACUUUUUACACUGUUUAUUCACCAACACUUUAUUUAAUAAAAGUCCCAUCUAGUUUUUAUGAGGAAUGUGAUGUUUUAAUUUCUCUGUGAAUAACUGCAGUCUAAUGCAACAGCUGGAAUUGUAACAUCUGUCCUGAUAUUGAUCAUGAAAUAUUGAUCAGAAUACUUAUGGUUAGCAGUCAUCCCUGAAGUUUUACAUUAAAAUCUUUACUUGUGUUGUGAACUUUGGUAAGAAGCAGAAACGUUAGUGUUGCCAUGGAUACAUGAGUAUUAAAUUCUGUCCAUGUUUCCAUUUUGGGAAAUUCAGUCCAGUUCCAGAAUGUGGAGGAAUUUAGUCUCAAUCACAGACAACAAAUAUUAUCUGAAAGUCGGGUUAUUGUUGUUUAUCAGCACAAUAGAUUAAUGUUAGAAAUAUUCCAGUUAAGACUCUAGAAUAUCAUGAUUUAUGUAAAUUUACCUCAAUAAUAUGAAUGUUCAGGUUAAGGUUGUGCAGUGAUAUUUAUUAUAUGUGUAUGUAAGUUUAGCUGAUUAAAGUUUAUUACUCUGCACUAAAAUAUUAUUUAAAUUGACAUCAUUAUUAUAAUAUUUAGGGUCAGACCCUACAGUAUUGAGAUUAAGAAAUCAAAUAUUCUAUAAAAUGUAAAUACACUGAACUCAUUUGGAUAUAUUUAAGUGAGACUCUACAAUAUUAUUUGCCCCAAAUCUAUCUAAAUCAAAAUUUUAAUCAUUUUUACUCCAAACAUUUACUGAUUUAAAUAUUAAAAUCACUCCUUUCUAAUCCUCUGCUGUACGUUCAAACCUGAGGCCUUAAAUAGAAACACACAAGUAUCUGAUUGAAGGAACUUCUGCAGAGUCCUGGUUCCAGAACAUGAUGAUAGAAUUAUAGACAAACUUUAACAAAAGCUGCCUGAGAGUUUACAGGUUUUUAUGUUAGAUUUCUUCAGUAAUUUAAUGAGCGUUAUCAGCAAAAAUCAAGUGUUCAUUUGAUGAACUUUAUUUCCUAAAACAUCCAGAAUUGGAGCUCAUAUCUUUGGCAGCUGUAAAGUUUCUGCUCCUUCAAAGUUCACAACACAAUGAAUGAAUUCCUAAAACACUCUCAAUGCUGGAGAGUGUUUGUGAUGCUGAAGCAGUGACCAGUUUUUCUGUUUCUUCUCUGGAGAUGCACAAUGAGGGACGUCUGCAGCGACUGAGAAAGAGUCUCACCACAUCCUGACAUGAGGAAAAAGACUUUAUUGAAGACUACAAUGAGAAAAACUAUCAGACAGCAGACGGCAUGCAUUCAAGGUGAGCUCUGAACAUUUGAUCUGGAACAGGAAUUCAAUAACUGCAGCAUGAGCUUCAUUUCAGUCUGCAGCUGCUGAAUUCAUGGAUGAAUCAUCUGGCACUAGAGAAGAAGACCAUCAAACAUCCACGUCAGCUGAUGGAGGUCCAAGAGUCUCACCGAACAACCAACCUACAGAGUGAAGACCUCGAAUCUGAUUGGACGGCCUCCUAUUCAGCCACAUGUGUGAACAAAUGCCUCUAAGUUGAUUUGUUUUCUAAAAUAAAUCUAGUUUGAGUCCUAA
Molecule: long non-coding RNA, 2741 nt
Organism: Amphiprion ocellaris (clown anemonefish)
Lineage: Eukaryota; Metazoa; Chordata; Actinopteri; Pomacentridae
Exons: 2
Source: RefSeq, a predicted model, not a curated record